GAUGAACGCUGGCGGCGUGCCUAAUACAUGCAAGUCGAGCGAACGGACGAGAAGCUUGCUUCUCUGAUGUUAGCGGCGGACGGGUGAGUAACACGUGGAUAACCUACCUAUAAGACUGGGAUAACUUCGGGAAACCGGAUCUAAUACCGGAUGAUAUUUUGAACCGCAUGGUUCAAAAGUGAAAGACGGUCUUGCUGUCACUUAUAGAUGGAUCCGCGCUGCAUUAGCUAGUUGGUAAGGUAACGGCUUACCAAGGCAACGAUGCAUAGCCGACCUGAGAGGGUGAUCGGCCACACUGAACUGAGACACGGUCCAGACUCCUACGGGAGGCAGCAGUAGGGAAUCUUCCGCAAUGGGCGAAAGCCUGACGGAGCAACGCCGCGUGAGUGAUGAAGGUCUUCGGAUCGUAAAACUCUGUUAUUAGGGAAGAACAUAUGUGUAAGUAACUGUGCACAUCUUGACGGUACCUAAUCAGAAAGCCACGGCUAACUACGUG
Molecule: ribosomal RNA, 496 nt
Filed under: uncultured bacterium
Lineage: Bacteria
Description: partial 16S ribosomal RNA
Rfam family: Bacterial small subunit ribosomal RNA
Source: RNAcentral